AGCAGCCGCGGUAAUUCCAGCUCCAAUAGCGUAUAUUAAAGUUGUUGCAGUUAAAAAGCUCGUAGUUGAAUUUCGGGAUCAAUAUAUUGGUCGUGCCUUCGGUAUGCACUGGUAUUAUUGAUUUCUACCUUCUGACGAACCAUGAUGUCAUUAAUUUGGUGUCAUGGGGAAUCAGGACUGUUACUUUGAAAAGAUUAGAGUGUUUAAAGCAGGCACACGCUUGAAUACAUUAGCAUGGAAUAAUGAAAUAGGACGUUUGAUCUUAUUUUGUUGGUUUCUAGGAUCGACGUAAUGAUUAAUAGGGAUAGUUGGGGGCAUUAGUAUUCAAUUGUCAGAGGUGAAAUUCUUGGAUUUAUUGAAGACUAACUACUGCGAAAGCAUUUGCCAAGGAUGUUUUCAUUAAUCAAGAACGAAAGUUAGGGGAUCGAAGACGAUCAGAUACCGUCGUAGUCUUAACCAUAAACUAUGCCGACUAGGGAUCGGAUGAUGUUAAUUUUUAAUGUA
Molecule: ribosomal RNA, 504 nt
Filed under: uncultured Glomus
Lineage: Eukaryota; Fungi; Glomeromycota; Glomeromycetes; Glomerales; Glomeraceae
Description: SSU rRNA
Rfam family: Eukaryotic small subunit ribosomal RNA
Source: RNAcentral